GAUGAAGAACGCAGCGAAAUGCGAUACGUAAUGUGAAUUGCAGAAUUCAGCGAAUCAUCGAGUCUUUGAACGCACAUUGCGCCCCCUGGUAUUCCGGGGGGCAUGCCUGUCCGAGCGUCAUUGCUGCCCUCAAGCACGGCUUGUGUGUUGGGCCUCCGUCCUCCUCCCGGGGGACGGGCCCGAAAGGCAGCGGCGGCACCGCGUCCGGUCCUCGAGCGUAUGGGGCUUCGUCACCCGCUCUUGUAGGCCCGGCCGGCGCUUGCCGACACAUCAAUCUUUUUUCCAGGUUGACCUCGGAUCAGGUAGGGAUACCCGCUGAACUUAAGCAUAUCAUAAGCGGAGGA
Molecule: unclassified non-coding RNA, 344 nt
Filed under: soil metagenome
Description: partial contains 5.8S ribosomal RNA, internal transcribed spacer 2, and large subunit ribosomal RNA
Rfam family: 5.8S ribosomal RNA (bases 1-120)
Source: RNAcentral